RNAcentral lists this ribosomal RNA (253 nucleotides) under uncultured bacterium. RNAcentral describes it as "partial 16S ribosomal RNA". It matches the Rfam family "Bacterial small subunit ribosomal RNA", at positions 524 to 776 of the family's 1533-position model. The record is from RNAcentral.
UACGUAGGGUGCAAGCGUUGUCCGGAAUUAUUGGGCGUAAAGAGCUCGUAGGCGGUCUGUCGCGUCGGGAGUGAAAUCCACUGGCUUAACUGGUGGCUUGCUUUCGAUACGGGCAGACUGGAGGUAUGCAGGGGAGAACGGAAUUCCUGGUGUAGCGGUGAAAUGCGCAGAUAUCAGGAGGAACACCGGUGGCGAAGGCGGUUCUCUGGGCAUGUCCUGACGCUGAGGAGCGAAAGUGUGGGGAGCGAACAGG